Chlorocebus sabaeus (green monkey) is the source of this 2404-nucleotide non-coding RNA. NCBI's taxonomy places the organism in Eukaryota, Metazoa, Chordata, Mammalia, Primates, Cercopithecidae. The record is from RefSeq and is a predicted model, not a curated record.
UUUUGAUCUUGGACUUCUCAGCCUUCCAAAACUGAGUUAUAAUUUUUGUGUUUAACCACACAAUGUAUGGUAUUUUGUUACAGCAGCCUGAGCUGCCUAAGACACCAAGUUUCUCUAACAGCAUGACUAAAUGGCUUCUGUGAAUGACUGACAGGAGCAGGCAGCACUCUUUUUUGCUUCUGGAUGGGGUGGUAGAAGAUUAACAGGUUGCCAUCCUACCUUGCUCACUUGGAGAGAAACAGUGUUUUCCAAAUCAGACAUAUAUAUGCGGGGAAUUUCUCAUGGAGAUUAGGCAAUGGAUCUAAAAAGGUACUCUCCUCCUGCCUGACCUUAGCACAUCCCAUGGAGCCCUCUCUAUUGUGAAUCUGAAGGCUUAGCAAAAAUCCUCAGAUUCACAAUAUUUUCUCAGUACAUAUCAGAACAUCUGCAAUGAACAGGUUUCUAUGUUAGACAAAGUGGAUUAAUUUUAUUAUAAACAAAAACCACCUUCAAAAGAGUAUUCAUUGUUGGUUUUUGAUUUUAAAAAGUAGAACCGCUUGCAUGAAUUCACCAAUUCCCAACUGGUUGAUUCAAUGCAUUACAAGAGAGGAACUCAGCAAUCCUGGCUCAUAUUUUAUCAGCCAUAGCAGGACAUGGAGUUUGGAUUUGGGGGAUCAAGGCACUUUCAAUUUCCAGUAUCAGAAACUCAUUUAUUUAUUAUAUGAACAAAUUGAGUAUGCUUAGCCCCAUAGGAAAUAGAAAUUUUACUUUCUCAUUCUUUGUCACCCAUUAAUAAACAGUGCACAUUUGUGUAACAGUAGGAUCAGUAAGUUAGUUUUGGUCUCUUACGUAAGCCAUUUCAUGGAAACUUUUCAGUAGUACAUUAUUGCUUUCACCUUAUUUUCAGAGAUCUCCUGGAAAUAACUGAAAUAUGGGACUGUUUUAUUAUGUUAAAAAGUUUAGUUAGCAGAAAAUGCAAUAUAACAUGUAUGUCACACAAGUUUAUAGCCUGCCUACAUAUUAGAUAUUGAUAAUUUCAGGGUAAUUUCAGUCUGUAAGUUUGUUUUUCUCAACCACAUUAUUUAUCUUUUAUUCUUAUCCAGGAUGAAUGUAAACCUUUUGGGUUUUUCUUCCUCUUAUCCAUUCAUUCAGAAGAUAUUUACUGAGUACCUAUCUAUGCCAUGCAGUCUCUUAGAGAAUGGGAAUACAGCAGUGAACAAGAUAGGUCCACAUCGAGGCUGGAGGCUUCUACUUUGGGAUGGCAAACUUUCUCAUCUGGGGGGACCUCUUCUGUGUGGGAGCAUGCGUUAGGCUCAAGAGUGACCAAAACGACCCUGCUGAGAUCUGCCCCAGGUGAGCUGCCAUCUCUUCUCUGCACAGCAGCUGGUGCAGUAGCUGACCUCAUAUCCUGGGGCUUCAGCCACGUUCUUUUAGUUCUCAUACCAUAGGUAUACACAGGCAGCACAGUAGCUGUUUGCUGCCUAACCUAGUUUCUGCAUGUAAACCUUUUCUGAUUUCUCUGGGGAUAUAACUUACUUCCACGCUUUGACUCUUUUCUUUAUCCACAUUCCAAUGACUAUGACUUUCCUGUCUUUUUACCUCCUUCACCCAAUUUGUGUCCUCUCAUUUGUUCUGUUCACCAGUUUGCUGACUCUUCUCCCUUCAGCAUCUCCCACAAGGCAUAUAUGUGUUUCUAUUUCUAGUGUUAUCUGUCUAUAGCACCACAAAGCACUUGAAAUAUAAGACAUUUGAUAUUUGAGAUAUGACUGGCCUUAUUAUUGUUAUCUCUAUCAUAGUUAUUAUCAUCACCAUCAUCAUUCCAACUUUUACAGAUGAGAAAUAAAAAUGAGGCCUAGGGAGAUGUAGUGCCUUGCUUUAAGUCACCAGCUGGUAAAUAGCCCAGCUAUGAUGUCUGACUCUGAAUUCAAUGCUUUUCCAAAGUACUCUACCCAUCUUCCUCAUCAUGUUACUUCCCUAUUGAGCUGGUCAGUAAUUGAACUGCCUUUCAAGUUUGAGAACUUAAGGAACUCAAAUAAAUUGUUUCUUUUCCCUGUUUGAGAAGACCUGCAGCUUCUCAUUUUUCCAUGCUCACUCCUAUGGCCAGAGUCAGUUACAAAGAUAUUGUAUUCUGAAUAACUAAGAACAUGCUUUGUUAUUUUCAAAAAUUUUAACUGAAAUUAAGACACCAAAAAAAAAAGUUAUCCUAGAGGAUUCUAGGAUCUCCAAAUAUAUUUUUUAAUAGACUCCUUGAGCUUAAGAAGUACUGACUUGUGUUUGUUUAUUCUAGUUCACAAUCCUGUUUAGAGAAGGCCGACCCUUGCUGCAGCAAUCUUGACUAAUACCUACCAGCCCCACUAUCUCCUAUUGUAAAUGCAGUUUCCAGAAUGUGGAAGAGAGUAGGUUCAGGGGGCUAAAAAGAAAUCCU